RNAcentral lists this ribosomal RNA (380 nucleotides) under uncultured bacterium. Its description in RNAcentral is "bacterial SSU rRNA". It matches the Rfam family "Bacterial small subunit ribosomal RNA", at positions 28 to 423 of the family's 1533-position model. The record is from RNAcentral.
GAUAAACGCUGGCGGCGUGCCUAACACAUGCAAGUCGAACGCCCUUUUGCGCAAGUGAGAGGGAGUGGCGGACGGGUGAGUACCACGUGGGUACCUACCUUGAGGUGAGGAAUACCACCGAGAAAUCGGUGACAAGACCGCAUACGCUUGGCAACAAGCAAAGUCUCGCAAGAGACGCCACAAGAUGGGCCUGCGCCUGAUUAGCUAGUUGGUGAGGUAAUGGCNCACCAAGGCGACGAUCAGUAGCUGGUCUGAGAGGAUGGUCAGCCACACUGGGAUUGAGAACGGCCAGACUCCUACGGGGGCAGCAGUGAGGAAUUUUCGUCAAUGGGGGCAACCCUGAACGAGCAACGCCGCGUGCAGGACGACACUUUUCGGAG